UGUCGCAGCAGGUUCCCUUUCUGGGUGAAGGAGGCCCCGCACUGAUUGCACUGGAAGGGUCGCUCUCCUGGGACGAGGAGAGGAAAACGAGAAAAUAUGAGGCACUCCUUUGUGCUCAUCUGAGAUGGUGACAUGAACCCAGCUCUCUGAGAACCAUAAACUGCAGCUGCAAUGAAAGCCCUCAUUCCAACCACUGUUUUCACAGAGUUUUAUGAGUAGGAGGGACAUUUCACCCAGUAUAACAAUCAAUGAGCUUUUUGGAGAAAAGACUUACAAGGAAUGGAAAGGACUGACUAGAAGAUGGAACACAGUCCUCAUAGGAGACACCAAGAUCUGAGGAUCAGCAGCCCAGAGUGCUUUACAUUUUAGCAGCUUCCUGCUAGCACCUCCCAGUCACCAUGGACAAACAAACCACAUCCUACUGACAAGGUCAAUAAAGGACACAGGCAGGUGGGGGAGGCCAGGCUGCCACUUGGCCCACAGUGUUCUGUGACUACUGAACCCUGUAAAAUCAGGACUCUCAUUAAUAUCCUGUGUACCUUGUUGAGUGGAAGUGACUGCCCACUAGGGUCAUGUUGGCCUUACUGUGGUUGGAUGAAUGUUUCCAUGUAGCAAAAGCUCAGUCACUAGAGAGCCCUAGGAGGGGUGGGGCCACAGGGAGGUCUUUGGGUCACUGGAUGCUCUUGGAAGGGAAAGUGGCCCUGGUGAAACAGUCUCUCUGCUUCCUGGCUUGUGAUGACAGAGAUCCAUGUGGACAUGCAUUCCCCAUCAUUGCCACCUGGUGCCCUCCCUGGGGAACAGAACAAUGGGCCCUGAUCUUAGUCUUGUGCCCCCAACACCAUGAGCUAAAUAAACUUCAGUUCUUUAUAAAUCACCAAGUCUCCAGAUCUUACAGCAGUAAAUAAGGGGCUGAAUCAGACGUGUCCCAGAAACACAGUAAAGUUACAAAAAUCUCUGUUCUCCCCAACCUAGGAGUGAUUUUAAUUGUCUACCUUGUGGCUUUUGAGAGUGAGACAGGGCUAUUGUAGUGCGCAGUGGAAUGGUCUGGAAUGGGUGCUUUUCUACCAUGAGGGCUAAGAGGCAGGACUGCCACGGCUGGGAGGAGGACACUGCAGGACAGAGCUGGCGCUGU
Molecule: long non-coding RNA, 1132 nt
Organism: Chinchilla lanigera (long-tailed chinchilla)
Lineage: Eukaryota; Metazoa; Chordata; Mammalia; Rodentia; Chinchillidae
Exons: 3
Source: RefSeq, a predicted model, not a curated record